AGGAUAGGCCUUUUCCCAUUUGGGGGUGCCCCCUCUCUCUCCCCAUUUAAGUCUUCCAGUUUAUACAAAGUUGGCCUUGCUUUUCUCAGAUCAAGAAGUGACUAAACAGGAGUACAGGAAAGACCAAACUCUGUUUCUUCAGAAAGGAAGAGGACAAAUCCAAAGGUCAUAUGGCCAGUAAUCAGCCCGGAUGUGCCACUCCUGUGAUUUCUUGCUUUUUCCUAACUUCAUGGGAGCUUUCAGCUAUGAUCUCAGCAAGAGUUCCAGAUGGUUUCAACAAAAAGGCCAGACAAAUUUGGUAAAAAAAAAAAAAAUAAAGAAAAAAUUGGAAGAAAUAAUAAAAAACCACAUGGAUUUAUAAAAAUCCAUAUAAAACAUAUCUUUACAACAUCUUCACUGUU
Molecule: long non-coding RNA, 401 nt
Organism: Capra hircus (goat)
Lineage: Eukaryota; Metazoa; Chordata; Mammalia; Artiodactyla; Bovidae
Exons: 2
Source: RefSeq, a predicted model, not a curated record